GAUGAACGCUGGCGGCGUGCUUAACACAUGCAAGUCGAACGGAGAUGUUGUGUGAGCGGAGAGUGCUUGCACUUAACAAUCUUUCAACAUCUUAGUGGCGGACGGGUGAGUAACGCGUGGGUAACCUGCCUCAUACAGGGGGAUAACACUUAGAAAUAGGUGCUAAUACCGCAUAAGCGCACAGUAUCGCAUGAUACAGUGUGAAAAACUCCGGUGGUAUACGAUGGACCCGCGUCUGAUUAGCUAGUUGGUGAGGUAACGGCCCACCAAGGCGACGAUCAGUAGCCGGCCUGAGAGGGUGAACGGCCACAUUGGGACUGAGACACGGCCCAAACUCCUACGGGAGGCAGCAGUGGGGAAUAUUGCACAAUGGGGGAAACCCUGAUGCAGCGACGCCGCGUGAGUGAAGAAGUAUUUCGGUAUGUAAGGCUCUAUCAGCAGGGAAGAUAAUGACGGUACCUGACUAAGAAGCCCCGGCUAACUACGU
RNAcentral lists this ribosomal RNA (487 nucleotides) under uncultured bacterium. Its description in RNAcentral is "bacterial SSU rRNA". It matches the Rfam family "Bacterial small subunit ribosomal RNA", at positions 28 to 506 of the family's 1533-position model. The record is from RNAcentral.